Molecule: long non-coding RNA, 2106 nt
Organism: Lolium rigidum
Lineage: Eukaryota; Viridiplantae; Streptophyta; Magnoliopsida; Poales; Poaceae
Exons: 6
Source: RefSeq, a predicted model, not a curated record
CUCGAAGUCGGUUUGCUCGGCAGUGGUUGUUCUCUGCCCGUCUCGCCCCCAGACCUUUUCUUUUGCUACAUCUUCACUUUCUCAGCUUUUUUCCCAUUUGCUUGCCCUGACUUACAAGCACGUCAAUGGCUAGGCGGAGAGGGAGUCAGUGGCUCCCCAUCAUGCACAUCUCCGUCUUGUUGAUUUGAUGGGGGAGAUGGUGGAGACGCGAUUCGGUGGCAGGGAAGAGAUCGAGGUGACGGAUGGCCGGAUCCAAGGUCGGAGCCCCAUGGCUUCUUCUCCUCCGUCUCUAGGGUUCGAUCUUCAAUGCCCAGCAUCUCUCCAUCCAUGUCUCAACAAAAAAAAGGUCAUAAACAUUGGAGAUGAUGGCAAGAUAGCGUGACGGAUGAUGUUUUUGCGCAGGCAAGGGGCAAUCUUUUCUUCAGAUUUCUUAUUACCAGUAGAAUAUUGCAACUCGAGCCAAAUAAGUGGCCAGUCUAUUGAGAUGAACAUGAAAUAUACGGAUGCAUGGAUGAUGUGGAAAUAGGUUAUAUUUUCAAGGCACGUUCUGCGCUUCCACUUUAUAGUGCCAGAGGGGAUAAUUGCAUGUUCACUGUCACAUCAAUCCUAUCGAUAGCAAUGAUGCUUGUUGGGGUUCUUCUUGUCCUCUCUCCUGAUAGCUUAAAAACUGACAUAACCUGCUUGUUAUCUACGGGCUGGAAAUAACAUCAGCAACAAUGGAGUUCCUGAUCCGUCAUGCAAGAUUUGAUUCAUCUGCAUGAAGCAGUUAAUCUGCACCAGGGAAAUGGAAGUAGAAAAUGCACCUUCAGCUGUUACAUUGGCCAUGAAGUUAUGUGUCUGUCAUUUCACAAGGAAAGUGUGAGUGUCCUCCAGUAUGCUCUAUUUUAGUGUGUCCUUGUUAAAACCAAAGAAAAUAUAAUUAUUUGAGACAAAUGGAUGUAGUAUUUUACUGAAGAUUUUUUUCCUGUUGCAUUUGAUGCUCUGUAAUUUUUGAAGUGGCUAAUACGCAUAUUGAUUGAUAAAUCAUUAAGACAUAUAGCAUUGUUCGAUUUUCCAUGUCAAAAUAUUAGUUAUUCUCUUCUCAUAAAUAUUGUACGUUGUUGUGCUUGGGUUAGCUAUGUACUCAUCGGAUCUUGGAGAAUUUAUUAUGAAGAGUAUUCUUGAGUUGACAUAUUGAAUAAACCUCCUUAGGUUGACUUACUGAUUAAACUCAUGCAUACAAAUUCUCUUUUUCAACCAUCCUUUCAAAAAGUGCUAACAACCUUUGACGAUCGGCUCAUACAGAUAUGACACAAACAUUUGGUCAAUAUUAGUUAACCUUCUAUUUCAGUGGUAACCAUUUCAUUCAGUACACCUUUAGAUUUUGGUACUAAACUCCAUGCAACAUUUGGUUCAUAUUAAUUAACCUUCAGUCGUUGAGUACACCUAUAGAUUUUGGUACUAAUUAAACUCCAUGCCACUAUAACUUCAGACGUUGUACUAUAAUAAAUAUUUGAUCCAAGCAAAGCACACGAGUGACUCAUAAUGCUUGCAUGUGUAUACGUAUAUUAGUUACUGCACCGUUUUGUACAAACUACAGAGCUCUAUUUUCUUGUUUCUGAUGUAUUCAGAGCUUCACCUAAUUUCGAAAAUUCCACCUUCCUGCUUAGCUGCAGUUAAGAGAUGGUACUUUUGUAUCCCUCAACUUUUCAAAUGCACCAGAUAAAUAUAUGGCGACUUCUGUCAUAUUCUUGGAGCUUGUUAUGUCAAUGCGAGGAUGCCUCAGGUUCCCCAGGUUUUGAAACUUCAGGUGAACCACACUACAACUAGCAGGUUCCCCAUGUUUUGAAACUUCAGGUGAACCACACUGCAACUAGACGUUUCCUCUUUUCCUUGAUGAAGAAUUCUCAUUUACAUGUCAUAAAUUCCACCAGGGAGAAGGAAAUUAAUAAUCCCUAUAUUGUACAAAGUGACAUUGCUUAUCUGUAAACUCUUUCGUAGCAGCAGGCAUUUUUUCCUUGAUAUUUGCUACCCAGCUACAAAGAAUAUGGAUCAAAAGGUAAGACCUUUUGUAAAUGGGUGUGACUAAAAUUUGUCAUGCCAUAUGAUGGGUGCAUCUCCAUCGCA